Molecule: long non-coding RNA, 542 nt
Filed under: Anas platyrhynchos platyrhynchos (common mallard)
Lineage: Eukaryota; Metazoa; Chordata; Aves; Anseriformes; Anatidae
Description: lncRNA (ENSAPLG00000023641.1)
Source: RNAcentral
AUGGUUUUUGCAUUACUUUCCCAAGAACAUCUCAUGCUUUUUAUUGCUCUUCUCCCAACACCUACCACCAGCGAUGACGAGUCACCUAAAGCUUUGGGACUAGGCAUUAGCACAUUUCACAAGAUGGCCUCUGGACUGCAGUUUGCUGAGGACCUGCCUGAUGCUGACUGGGCACAUUUGAGGGUCUAUGCAACUGAAUUCAUUGGGACAGCCUGGCUUAAUAGACAGGAAGAAAUAACGCCUGUACAGUGCUCUGCCUUCUCCCCACGCCUCGAAGUGAUUGCUCCCGUGCACAUUUUUCUUCAGUGAAAUGCGCAGGCAGGACUGAGGGGGUGCAAACCUUUUGCCAGCGUUCUUUUGGGCUGACCAGGCUCCAUUGUGCCUCAGCAGCAGGGCUGUUCCUAAACCAUGCUGCUGAAAAGUGCAUACCACACUGUAAUGCAGUCGCUAUAUAUAGUCUGUAAAGAGCUUUUGGAAACCAUGAGGAAAAGAGCUAUUUGAUGUACAAUAAAUUAUUAAUUGUUAUUAGUUACUAUCUUGAC